AGUGAACGCUGGCGGUAGGCCUAACACAUGCAAGUCGAACGGCAGCACAGUAAGAGCUUGCUCUUACGGGUGGCGAGUGGCGGACGGGUGAGGAAUACAUCGGAAUCUACUUUUUCGUGGGGGAUAACGUAGGGAAACUUACGCUAAUACCGCAUACGACCUACGGGUGAAAGCAGGGGAUCUUCGGACCUUGCGCGAUUGAAUGAGCCGAUGUCGGAUUAGCUAGUUGGCGGGGUAAAGGCCCACCAAGGCGACGAUCCGUAGCUGGUCUGAGAGGAUGAUCGGCCACACUGGAACUGAGACACGGUCCAGACUCCUACGGGAGGCAGCAGUGGGGAAUAUUGGACAAUGGUCGCAAGCCUGAUCCAGCCAUACCGCGUGGGUGAAGAAGGCCUUCGGGUUGUAAAGCCCUUUUGUCGGGAAAGAAAAGCAGCAGGUUAAUACCCCGCUGUUCUGACGGUACCCAAAGAAUAAGCACCGGCUAACUUCGUG
RNAcentral lists this ribosomal RNA (492 nucleotides) under uncultured bacterium. RNAcentral describes it as "partial 16S ribosomal RNA". It matches the Rfam family "Bacterial small subunit ribosomal RNA", at positions 29 to 507 of the family's 1533-position model. The record is from RNAcentral.